GAUGAAGAACGUAGCGAAAUGCGAUACGUAAUGUGAAUUGCAGAAUUCAGUGAAUCAUCGAAUCUUUGAACGCAUAUUGCGCUCUCUGGUAUUCCGGAGAGCAUGCUUGUUUGAGUAUCAGUAAACACCUCAACUUCCAUAUCUUUUUUGAAAUGGGAGUUGGACUUGAGUGAUCCCAACGCUUUUCCUCACCGAAAAGUGGCGGGUUACUUGAAAUGCAGGUGCAGCUGGACUUUUCUCUGAGCUAUAAGCAUAACUAUUUAGUCUGCCUAAAAAACAGAUUAUUACCUUUGCUGCAGCUAACAUAAAGGAGAUUAGUUCUUGUGCUGACUGAUGCAGGAUUCACAAAGACAGGCUUCGGCCGACUUUGUAAACUCGAUCUCAAAUCAAGUAAGACUACCCGCUGAACUUAAGCAUAUCAAUAAGCGGAGGA
RNAcentral lists this unclassified non-coding RNA (433 nucleotides) under soil metagenome. RNAcentral's name for it is "partial contains 5.8S ribosomal RNA, internal transcribed spacer 2, and large subunit ribosomal RNA". The stretch from base 1 to 120 matches the Rfam family "5.8S ribosomal RNA", at positions 35 to 154 of the family's 154-position model. The record is from RNAcentral.